AGAGUUUGAUCCUGGCUCAGAACGAACGCUGGCGGCGUGCUUAACACACGCAAGUCGAACGAGAAAGUUUCCUUCGGGAAAUGAGUAGAGUGGCGCACGGGUGAGUAACGCGUAGGUAAUCUACCCUUAUAUUUGGGAUAACAGACCGAAAGGUCUGCUAAUACCGGAUACCCUUUUGGUUAUGCGAAUAACUUUGAGGAAAGGUGGCCUCUUCAUGAAAGCUACCGUAUAGGGAUGAGCCUGCGUACCAUUAGCUAGUAGGUGGGGUAACGGCCCACCUAGGCAACGAUGGUUAGCGGGUCUGAGAGGAUGAUCCGCCACACUGGAACUGGAACACGGACCAGACUCCUACGGGAGGCAGCAGUGAGGAAUAUUGCGCAAUGGGGGCAACCCUGACGCAGCGACGCCGCGUGAGUGAGGAAGGUUUUCGGAUCGUAAAGCUCUGUCAGAAGGGAAGAAAUGUUAUAUGGUUAAUACCCAUAUAAUUUGACGGUACCUUCAGAGGAAGCACCGGCUAACUCCGUGCCAGCAGCCGCGGUAAUACGGAGGGUGCGAGCGUUGUUCGGAAUUACUGGGCGUAAAGGGCGCGUAGGCGGCUUGAUAAGUCAGAUGUGAAAGUCCAUGGCUCAACCGUGGAAGUGCAUUUGAAACUGUCUGGCUUGAGUAUUGGAGGGGAAAGUGGAAUUCCCGGUGUAGAGGUGAAAUUCGUAGAGAUCGGGAGGAACACCUGUGGCGAAGGCGACUUUCUGGACAAAUACUGACGCUGAGGCGCGAAAGCGUGGGGAGCAAACAGGAUUAGAUACCCGGGUAGUCCCAGCCGUAAACGAUGCAUGCUAGGUGUUGGGUUGGCCACGAGCCACCCCAGUGCCGCAGGGAAGCCGUUAAGCAUGCCGCCUGGGAAGUACGAUCGCAAGAUUGAAACUUAAAGGAAUUGGCGGGGGAGCACCACCAGGCGUAAAGCCUGCGGUUUAAUUGGAGUCAACGCCGGGAACCUUACCGGGAGCGACAGCAGAAUGAAGGCCAGAUUGAAGAUCUUGCCAGACGAGCUGAGAGGAGGCGCAUGGCCGUCGCCAGUUCGUGCCGUGAGGUGUUCUCUUAAGUGAGAUAACGAACGAGACCCGUGCCACAUGUUGCCACCAGUAUCUAAAGGAUAGCUGAGCACUCUUGUGGGACCGCAGCCGAUAAGGCUGAGGAAGGUACGGGCAACGGCAGGUCAGUAUGACCCGAAUCUCCCGGGCCACACGCGGGCUGCAAUGGUACAGACAGAGGGCUGCCACCCCGAAAGGGGGAGCCAAUCCCUAAACUGUACCUCAGUUGGGAUCGAGGGUUGCAACCCACCCUCGUGAACAUGGAAUGCCUAGUAACCGCCAGUCAUCAUCUGGCGGUGAAUACGUCCCUGCUCCUUGCACACACUGCCCGUCGAACCACCCGAAUGAGGUUUGGGUGAGGAAUGGUCGAAUGUUGGCCGUUUCGAACCUGGGCCUCGUAAGGAGGGUUAAGUCGUAACAAGGUG
RNAcentral lists this ribosomal RNA (1513 nucleotides) under metagenome. RNAcentral describes it as "bacterial SSU rRNA". It matches the Rfam family "Bacterial small subunit ribosomal RNA". The record is from RNAcentral.